UGGGGUAAAGGGAUGCAGGUGGUUCUUAAAUCAAAUUUAAAGCCCGGGGCUCAACCUCGAACUGCAUUUAAAUUUUAACUUCAAUCUUUACGGGGGGUAGGAAUUCCCGUUUAAGGGUGAAAUUCCUUGGGAUUUGAGGGGUGUUUACAUGGCUCAGAUUGAACGCUGGCGGCAGGCCUAACACAUGCAAGUCGAGCGGAAACGACACUAACAAUCCUUCGGGUGCGUUAAUGGGCGUCGAGCGGCGGACGGGUGAGUAAUGCCUAGGAAAUUGCCUUGAUGUGGGGGAUAACCAUUGGAAACGAUGGCUAAUACCGCAUAAUGCCUACGGGCCAAAGAGGGGGACCUUCGGGCCUCUCGCGUCAAGAUAUGCCUAGGUGGGAUUAGCUAGUUGGUGAGGUAAUGGCUCACCAAGGCGACGAUCCCUAGCUGGUCUGAGAGGAUGAUCAGCCACACUGGAACUGAGACACGGUCCAGACUCCUACGGGAGGCAGCAGUGGGGAAUAUUGCACAAUGGGCGAAAGCCUGAUGCAGCCAUGCCGCGUGUAUGAAGAAGGCCUUCGGGUUGUAAAGUACUUUCAGUUGUGAGGAAGGGGGUAGUGUUAAUAGCGCUAUCUCUUGACGUUAGCAACAGAAGAAGCACCGGCUAACUCCGUGCCAGCAGCCGCGGUAAUACGGAGGGUGCGAGCGUUAAUCGGAAUUACUGGGCGUAAAGCGCAUGCAGGUGGUUCAUUAAGUCAGAUGUGAAAGCCCGGGGCUCAACCUCGGAACUGCAUUUGAAACUGGUGAACUAGAGUACUGUAGAGGGGGGUAGAAUUUCAGGUGUAGCGGUGAAAUGCGUAGAGAUCUGAAGGAAUACCAGUGGCGAAGGCGGCCCCCUGGACAGAUACUGACACUCAGAUGCGAAAGCGUGGGGAGCAAACAGGAUUAGAUACCCUGGUAGUCCACGCCGUAAACGAUGUCUACUUGGAGGUUGUGGCCUUGAGCCGUGGCUUUCGGAGCUAACGCGUUAAGUAGACCGCCUGGGGAGUACGGUCGCAAGAUUAAAACUCAAAUGAAUUGACGGGGGCCCGCACAAGCGGUGGAGCAUGUGGUUUAAUUCGAUGCAACGCGAAGAACCUUACCUACUCUUGACAUCCAGAGAAGCCAGCGGAGACGCAGGUGUGCCUUCGGGAGCUCUGAGACAGGUGCUGCAUGGCUGUCGUCAGCUCGUGUUGUGAAAUGUUGGGUUAAGUCCCGCAACGAGCGCAACCCUUAUCCUUGUUUGCCAGCGAGUAAUGUCGGGAACUCCAGGGAGACUGCCGGUGAUAAACCGGAGGAAGGUGGGGACGACGUCAAGUCAUCAUGGCCCUUACGAGUAGGGCUACACACGUGCUACAAUGGCGCAUACAGAGGGCAGCAAGCUAGCGAUAGUGAGCGAAUCCCAAAAAGUGCGUCGUAGUCCGGAUUGGAGUCUGCAACUCGACUCCAUGAAGUCGGAAUCGCUAGUAAUCGUAGAUCAGAAUGCUACGGUGAAUACGUUCCCGGGCCUUGUACACACCGCCCGUCACACCAUGGGAGUGGGCUGCAAAGAAGUGGGUAGUUUACCCUUUCGGGGAGGACGCUCACCACUUUGUGGUUCAUGACUGGUGAGUCGUACAGUAAACCCGUA
Molecule: ribosomal RNA, 1651 nt
Filed under: Vibrio sp. S3897
Lineage: Bacteria; Pseudomonadati; Pseudomonadota; Gammaproteobacteria; Vibrionales; Vibrionaceae
Description: bacterial SSU rRNA
Rfam family: Bacterial small subunit ribosomal RNA
Source: RNAcentral